CCCACCCUGCUUUCUUAAACAGAGAGCAAGAUCUUCGAAGAAGAUACAAGGCCAAGAACCGAUCUCACGAAGGCCAGAGGGGCCAUCAUGCGUGUCGUGCAGAUGAAUAAUUAAUAGCAACCGAUGAAGGAAGAGAGUAUAGGAUGACGAGGAGAGUACAAGGACGAGGACGAGAACGUGGACGA
RNAcentral lists this long non-coding RNA (185 nucleotides) under Polistes fuscatus (common paper wasp). RNAcentral's name for it is "uncharacterized LOC122525395". Lineage: Eukaryota; Metazoa; Arthropoda; Insecta; Hymenoptera; Vespidae. The record is from RNAcentral.